AUCGACAGCUAAGGGGAUUUUAUGGGAUAAAUAUGUAAAUAAAAGGCGCAAUUUUCGACGACUACAAAUAAUCACAAAGAAAUCCAAUACAUCUACCAUCACUUCACCUGUUCAACAAAGUGAAAAUGACAAUAUUUCAAGUGAGGAACUUCAGGAGUUGGACACAUGGCUGCGCAACAAUGUAAUGCCGUGGAAUCUUGUCAUAGAAAAUUGGCAAAAAACGCUCCGAAUUAGACAAAAAUUUGAAACAAUAGACACUUAUUUCCGAGACUAUCCUUCUUUAAGGCAACCUUCUGGGUAUUUGUUGUUGGAACUUGACUUUGACGCAUUAUUUACUGGAAAAGGAAACCACUUACUAAAUAAGUGGCUAAAUUUUUCCGAGCGGAUACUUAAACUAGUAGAAACAAAAAAAGACAACACAACAGGCAAAAAUUUUCUGAAGAACUAUAAUUACCAAUCAUAUAAUGAAAGACAAAAAGAAGUAUUGGGAUUUGCAUUAUUACCGCUAAUUAUACCACCCUGUCCCAUUAAAUAAAAAAAAAGUGGUACGCGAUACAAACCUUCGAAAGUAGAAACACAAGAAGCAUUUUGUUGUAUUAUAGAGGAUAUUAGCAAAUUAGAAGAAAAGUUGGAGAGUCGAAGGAAUAAACUCUUAACUUUUGGUGAAACAUUACAACCAUCCGUAGUUUUAGUUGGAACUGUAGACGGAAUUACAUCUUCUUACGUAAUCAUCAAUGACACUCAAUAUAAAUUGGAAACACCAAUGAAAGCUGUAGAUGUCUGUUUCAAGGUAUAUCAUGCAACUAAUGCCAAGUAUCCAAUAGAAGCGGAACAUAUUUGGACGUUUAUACAGCAAUAUAUUUAUGAAAUUUAUACGCCAUCGGAUAGAUCGUUUGUAAGUUUGAAUGCAUUCACUUCAGAUAUAAAUAGCAUAGUAACCUAAGAAAAUGAAAUGUUUUAAGUGCAAAUGUGAACUAAGCUCAAACACUUUACUUCUUUCACAUUUAAAGCAUGUGCAUUAUUUAAAACACCAAGAUAUUCAUAAGUGUAUUGACUGCAAUCGAACAUACAGUAACUUAAAUGCAUUCAAAAAGCAUUUAAAUAAAAAUCACGUUUUGAUAUCUAAUUCUACUUUAAGGGAGGCUACUCCUUUAGACAGUGCAAUAAGUUUGGAUGUUCCAUUGAAUCAAUCAAUUAAUUUGCUAGAUAACGUUAACCAUGAGUCAGUACAUUCACCACAUGAUUUUGUAACCCCCCUUUAUCCAAAAAAUAACAUAGACAUUAAUGCAGAAUGCCUUAAAUUAGUUAGUAGUUUAUACUGCCAUUCUUACGUUAAUCGUAAUUCUGUUCAAAUAUUUGUUGAAAGUAUUAAACGAUUCAUUGACGAUUUU
This is a long non-coding RNA of Photinus pyralis (common eastern firefly), 1391 nucleotides long. RefSeq lists it as uncharacterized. NCBI's taxonomy places the organism in Eukaryota, Metazoa, Arthropoda, Insecta, Coleoptera, Lampyridae. The record is from RefSeq and is a predicted model, not a curated record. The transcript has 5 exons.